This is a small nuclear RNA of Phodopus roborovskii (desert hamster), 107 nucleotides long. The record is from RefSeq and is a predicted model, not a curated record. Lineage: Eukaryota; Metazoa; Chordata; Mammalia; Rodentia; Cricetidae.
GUGCUUGAUUCUGAAGUAUAUGUACUAUCAUUGGAAAGAUACAGAGAAUAUUAGUAUGGCUUCUGCACAAGAAUGAUACACAAAUUCAUAAAGCAUUCCAUGAUUUA